UACGUAGGGCGCAAGCGGUAUCCGGAAUUAUUGGGCGUAAAGAGCUCGUAGGCGGUUUGUCGCGUCUGCCGUGAAAGUCCGGGGCUCAACUCCGGAUCUGCGGUGGGUACGGGCAGACUAGAGUGAUGUAGGGGAGACUGGAAUUCCUGGUGUAGCGGUGAAAUGCGCAGAUAUCAGGAGGAACACCGGUGGCGAAGGCGGGUCUCUGGGCAACAACUGACGCUGAGGAGCGAAAGCGUGGGGAGCGAACAGG
Molecule: ribosomal RNA, 253 nt
Filed under: uncultured bacterium
Lineage: Bacteria
Description: partial 16S ribosomal RNA
Rfam family: Bacterial small subunit ribosomal RNA
Source: RNAcentral